Molecule: ribosomal RNA, 377 nt
Filed under: uncultured bacterium
Lineage: Bacteria
Description: bacterial SSU rRNA
Rfam family: Bacterial small subunit ribosomal RNA
Source: RNAcentral
GACGAACCGUGCGAACGUUAUUCGGAAUCAUUGGGCUUAAAGCGCGUGUAGGCGGAUUCGUGCGUCUGUCGCUGAAAUCCCCCGGCUCAACCGGGGAACGGGCGCGGAUACGACGAGUCUGGAGGGGCAUAGGGGGACCUGGAACUUCCGGUGGAGCGGUGAAAUGCGUUGAGAUCGGAAGGAACGCCCGUGGCGAAAGCGAGGUCCUGGAUGCCUACUGACGCUGAGACGCGAAAGCCAGGGGAGCGAACGGGAUUAGAUACCCCGGUAGUCCUGGCCGUAAACGAUGGGUACUGGAUAGGGGGCUCGCCGAUGGGCUCCCUGUCGUAGGGAAACCGUGAAGUACCCCGCCUGGGGAGUAUGGUCGCAAGGCUGAA